Molecule: ribosomal RNA, 437 nt
Filed under: uncultured bacterium
Lineage: Bacteria
Description: bacterial SSU rRNA
Rfam family: Bacterial small subunit ribosomal RNA
Source: RNAcentral
UGGGGAAUAUUGGACAAUGGGCGCAAGCCUGAUCCAGCGACGCCGCGUGUGUGAAGAAGGCCUGCGGGUUGUAAAGCACUUUCGAUGGGAACGAAAUGUGCCGGGUUAAUACCCCGGUAAGCUGACGUUACUCAAUGAAGAAGCACCGGCUAACUCUGUGCCAGCAGCCGCGGUAAUACAGAGGGUGCGAGCGUUAAUCGGAAUUACUGGGCGUAAAGCGCACGUAGGUGGCGACGUAAGUCGGGUGUGAAAGCCCCGGGCUCAACCUGGGAACUUGCAUUCGAGACUGCAUUGCUGGAGUACGGAAGAGGAGGGCGGAAUUCCCGGUGUAGCGGUGAAAUGCGUAGAUAUCGGGAGGAACAUCAGUGGCGAAGGCGGCCCUCUGGUCCAGUACUGACACUCAAGUGCGAAAGCGUGGGGAGCAAACAGGAUUAGAU